UUUAGUAGCUGCGAGCGAACAGGGAUAAGCUCAGCAUAAAAUCUUGUAACUUGCCAGUUAUCAAGAGAUGUUAUGUUUAGGAGGUUUCGUUUAUCCUACAAUAUACACUUGGUCCAAGUCCACCUUGAAUGGGGCAUUACCCAUAGAGGGUGCCAGUCCCGUAGUGACAAGUGUUGAUAAAAUGAUUGUAGGUGAAACUUUCCUUAGAGUCGGGUUGCUUGUAAAUGCAGCUCCAAGUGGGUGGUAAACUCCAUCUAAAGCUAAAUAUAACCACGAGACCGAUAGCGAACAAGUACCAUGAGGGAAAGUUGAAAAGAACUUUGAAGAGAGAGUUCAAGAGUACGUGAAACCGUUUAGGGGUAAACGGGAGAAAUCUGAAAAUCUGAAGGAAGUGAUUCACGUAAAAUCUACAUUGUAUAUUAUGUGUUUGAUCGAUGAUUAUUUAAACACCUUGCAUGCAAUUCAUUUGUAUGUUGAGGAUUGCGUUUAAUAUCACGAUUCUCAUAUAAUUUCAAAUAUAAUGUGGUUUACCGCAUUUCAACCUUCC
RNAcentral lists this ribosomal RNA (547 nucleotides) under Arixenia esau. RNAcentral describes it as "eukaryotic LSU rRNA". It matches the Rfam family "Eukaryotic large subunit ribosomal RNA", at positions 79 to 613 of the family's 3401-position model. Lineage: Eukaryota; Metazoa; Arthropoda; Insecta; Dermaptera; Arixeniidae. The record is from RNAcentral.